RNAcentral lists this unclassified non-coding RNA (408 nucleotides) under Centaurea maculosa. RNAcentral describes it as "partial contains external transcribed spacer and 18S ribosomal RNA". The record is from RNAcentral. Lineage: Eukaryota; Viridiplantae; Streptophyta; Magnoliopsida; Asterales; Asteraceae.
UUUGGUUUGUUACGUGUGGAUGGCUGUUUGCUCGCGCACCAACGUUCACGCUUCAUACCUCUUCAGUUUUGCGUCAUGACUUGAUUUGUCUUGAGCAUGUCGUGGGUUUCCUGUGUUGCAUACCUAAUUGACGGUAACGUGUGGGUUUUACGGUUAUCUAUUUCGUCAUGUGUCGUUCAUGCGGCGUGGGAUGAACAAUGAAACGGCCUUUGUGAUCCACAGUGGUGUUGCGUUUGCAACAACGAUGUGGCCUAUGAAGCAUCGUUUGGUCUCUUGUAUACGGAACCUGAUGUGGGCAUGGGUCUUCAUAAGAUCCUUCAUUAUGCCCUCGUUAAGCGUUCUCGCUUCUCCAAAACGAUUGCCUGCCAUGUUACGGCUUUGUUCGUUCAUGGUGGGCUACGUCGAAGA